AGAGAUCGUGGGCUUGAUCGGGAUCGGGUCCGCAGCAGAGACAAGGAGAGAGAUCGUGGACGUGAACGUGAUCAUGAUUAUCCUCGGGAGAGGAAACGGGAUCGUGAACGAGAUUAUGCUGAUGGAAGGGAUGCGGAGUAUGGCCACAUUGAGCCAAUCCCUGCAAGACAGAAAUCAUAUGAUGAUUCCGUGAAGCACAGGCACGAUGAUGACUAUGAUCGUCAUCCAAAGCCGUAUGGUGACUAUGAUCUUAUCCAACCCCAAACUCUUGAUGAGGAUCUGCGUGACCAGGACCCAGUGAAGCGCCACAAGUCUGAUUAUAAUG
This 325-nucleotide unclassified non-coding RNA is filed under the name Hevea brasiliensis (rubber tree). Lineage: Eukaryota; Viridiplantae; Streptophyta; Magnoliopsida; Malpighiales; Euphorbiaceae. The record is from RNAcentral.